This 74-nucleotide transfer RNA is filed under the name Phycisphaerae bacterium. Its description in RNAcentral is "tRNA-Ala". It matches the Rfam family "tRNA". Rfam says of the family: Transfer RNA (tRNA) molecules are approximately 80 nucleotides in length. The record is from RNAcentral. Lineage: Bacteria; Pseudomonadati; Planctomycetota; Phycisphaerae.
GGGCCUGUAGCUCAAUUGGUAGAGCGCUUCCAUGGCAUGGAAGAGGUCGUCGGUUCGAGACCGAUCAGGUCCAC